This 49-nucleotide transfer RNA is filed under the name Stenospermation popayanense. Its description in RNAcentral is "partial tRNA-Leu". The record is from RNAcentral. Lineage: Eukaryota; Viridiplantae; Streptophyta; Magnoliopsida; Alismatales; Araceae.
AAAAUCCGUCGACUUUAGAAAUCGUGAGGGUUCAAGCCCUCUAUCCCCA